CUUCACGGAUUAUACAUUAUUUGACGUUUCUCUGAGGUGUAAACAACUCGUUUGAUUGUCCACUCAGCUCAAAAAUAGUUUUAGUCACUAACAUACUAUUGUAAUGAAAACACAAAACUGGCCAAUUUUUUAGUGUGUCUCGUGAUCGACUGCAUGGCGAAAGCAAGAAACAUUUACUGAUUCGGUUCAACGAUGGCGUGACAACGAUUGUACGAUGCUUUCAAAAAACAAAAGAUGCGACAAUUGCAAAAAAAUGAGGCAACGCACCCUUCGGAGAGAAUCAAGGUCGGACAAAACUGAAAAUGUACAUCGUAUACGUCACUUGACGAAUCCCAUCGACAGGAAAAAACUUAUUGCUCUGCAGAAGAAAAUGUCUAGAGAAAAACGCGUUAACAAAUAUUUAAAGCGACGCGUCGAAUUAUUGACCGAAUCACUCAAAGGAAAAGCCAAGGAAAUAGCAUCUAUCCGUACUGAAGCAUUGGAUGAAAAAUUUGCGCAAUUUCAAGUUCCUGCAUCGCAACAAAUUGCGAUUAAAGAAAUUAUCUCUGCAGCCAUGAGGAAAGACACGAAAAAUCGUCGUUAUUCAGAAGACUGGAUAAUGUUGUGCAUUUUGAUGCACAUACGUUCUCCUAGCUAUUAUGAAUUUUUUCGAAAGAACGAUGUUUUGCCACUACCCUGUACAAGGACCAUUCGCAGUUAUUUUUCGCUCAUAAAUUUAAAGUGCGGCUUUGAUGAGCAGUUUGGACAAUUAUUAUUAAAGAAACACUUUGACACAAAAACUGAGAAGCAGCGACAUGGCGUGUUGUUAUUGGACGAGAUUAAUUUGCGGAAAUCUGUGGCAGUGUGCUCAAGAAAUUUGAGUUACGUCUAAUUGACGGAUUUUGGCAACGACGGACUGCAAUCAACAGACAUCAGGGAACAAGCAACGCACGGUCGUGUUCUUAUGUUUCAGUCAAUUGCCGACUCAUACACCCAACCAAUUGCUGUUUUCACAUCGAAGAAUCCCGUGAAAGGAGAAGAACUUGCAAAGCUGGUGAUCAAAGGUAUUACUUACCUGGAAAAAUGCGGGGCGAAGAUUCACGGCGUUAUUGCUGAUGGCGCGGCAACAAACGCUAAAAUGUGGUCCAUAUUGGGUGUAUCGGGUGCAAUGGAGAACACGAAAACGCACUUCACGCAUCCUCUUGAUGAUAACCGGAAAGUAUUUGUUUUUUCUGAUACACCCCAUGUCUUCAAAAACAUUCGGAACCGGCUCUACAAUAAAAAAAAAUUGCGGUCCAAAAAAAUGCCGCGCAAACCACUCGUUGCUAAAGAGGAUGCGAUUAAAAUGGUCGAAAAAUACAUGGAGCACUUCACAAUGGAAACGUUACCGAGAUAUACAUCGGAUGUGUGGAUUCAAAUGAGCAGACUUGGGGUGUAAGUGGAAUGCCCAUGAUGUGUACACCGCCGUACGCGAGGAUAGUCGUCAGAUUUUAUCGAUCGAACGUAAAAAUAAAGGUAUUGAAAUACCGAUAAAAGUUGUUCAAAACUCUUCUAUCCUUAGCGACGAUUCCUUUGAGCAAUCAAAGCAGGCCGAUCCCGAUUUUGAUAUCAUUGAUAAUGCCGAAUUCAAAACUCUGCGCGAUUGGUUCCCUUUAAGCGUAGAUGCUAAAAUGUGGGAGAAUAUAAAACCAAAAGGGAAUGUAGAGUAUGACAUGGAACGAAGAGAAUAUGAAAUUCUGGCUCCUAAUAAUUGGACGAACGUCAUAUUCGAUGCCUUUUUUAAGCGGUACCGAUUUCCCUGCGCUUAUAUUUUCAAACGGGCGAAAAUUUACAAAAUACCAGACAGCAUGCAUUACAUCACUAUAUAUCGUGUAUGUAAAAGACAAAGCUGUUUGAAUCCUUUUUUCGGAUUCGUCGACAAUGAACCAGAUGUUGACGAGGCUUUAGACAUCAAGAUAAAAACUUGAGACCCUUCGGGUGUUAAUCAUGAACUAGUCAAAUGUUCACUCCGAGGUUUGAAGAGAAAGAUUGUCAGUCAAGAAGUUGCCACAGAAGGAUGUUCAAACUAUCGAAAAAGUAUUGCCAGGGAAAAUGUCCAGAUUGAUGAGAUGGAGUCUCUAAAUUUCUAUAAACCACAUAUGUUCUUACGGAGCGAAAAAAGAAUAUGUCGACAAACAUCUUGACAUUAAGAUUAUUUAUAAAUCUUUUUCGAUUUAUUGAAAUAAAUUUAAUCGGAGGAAAGAAUCAUGAAAGAUAAAGUAGAAUUACAUUUGUCCAAUUUUGUGACCCGUUUUCUUAAUUCACUGAAGUUUACAAUCGAUAAUGCGUAAUGUUAAAUUAUUAAUAGCUGAGUGGACAGCUUUUCACGCAUUCUUCUGUAAAUCGUUACAUUUCUAUUUUACUAUCGAACAACACCACAUUGCACAACAAACUGUAGCCCAGCGGAAUUAAAAAUUGGGCAUAGUCGCAAUUACUGAACGACGUUCCAAGUUGAGAGGUUGCGCUGUUAUUGACCGCUAAGGUGGUCUCAACGUGGGCCCUCAGGGUUUCACGAGGUUGAUGUCUUCCGAUGGUGGAAAGAUUCGAGGAAUGACGAUUUACUAUAUUCUUAGGAAUUGCACCCGUUUUUCGUGCAGCAGAAUCUUUAGCAGUAGCUUCUGCAGCAGCAGUUCCUGUUACUGCUCCCACUGUAGGCUCUAGAAGCAGAUGUCUACAUCUGGAAGAAUUGAGAUUUCAACCUUGAAUGUACAUAGUGUAUACAUAGCGAAUUCAUAGAAGAAAAAAUACAUAAAGAAAUAAUGUACGGUUGUACCUUUCGAGAAAAUUAUCCAUAGGGAAAAUUCAGAACAAUCCACUCAUUAUCUGGAGCCCCGCUACACUUGAAUACAGUGGCUUUAUAACAAAUAUAAAAGCCGUAGAAACCGGUUUUCUGAGCCAGAUAAUAUUUACUGAUGAAUUUUUGUUCGGCGUGAGCGGUCCGUGGAACUGUAGAAACAACCACCAUUGGAGCGAAGAGAAUCCGAACGUAACAUCGGUUGGGAGCAGUCAAUUUCGAUUCCCCGCAAUAAAUCUUUGGGCUGGAAUUUACCGUAACAAAUUGAUUGGACCAUUUCAGCUCGAGGGAACCCUCACAGACCAAUCAUACUUCGAAUUCCCCCGGAGACAUUUGAGAAGAUUAUGCAUCCGCUCGGGAAUGUCUUCGGAGGAAUUCGGAGCAGCUCAUUUUCAGCAGGACGGGGCCCCAGCACACGCGAGCGUUUUGGUGCGAGAAGAAUGACGAGGACGAAGACAAAGACGAAAACGAAGAAGAGGACGAAGACGAGAACGAGUAUUGUAGUAUAACGCUUCCCCGAACGACGUGAAUCGAUUCCAACCCGAAAUAACCCCAAAAUACAUGGCGACAUGGCGCCGCGUACAACGACCGGUGAACCGCGUCACUGUUGGUCGGCGGCGACCGUACUGAUGGGCAAUACAAAGGCCCAAAACAAGCGGUGGAGCGCGACGCUAGCGGCUCUACGUAUUAAAAAUUCGAACUAAUAAAUUUUUUUGUUUUAUUAAUUUAAAAUCAACGCGAUCUCGGAAAAUUAUGUAACUAGGCUCAAAAGAUGCGGAAAAUUAUAAAGAAUGGCGGAAAAAUAAUUACGACAUAAAAUUUUGAAAAUAAAUCCGUAAAAAUAGUAAAAUAAAAAUGCGCUUUCAUGCGCACGCUCAGAUCGAAUGUUCUCGAACAAGCCGCGACCCAAACAACAAUUUUUCGAUCAAAUUAAAUCUUUUCUAAUUGAACUUGGUUAUAAGAUAAAACUUUUGUAAAAAUUGUUAAAUAAUCAAUUGAGUCAAUUUUUUAUUUGUUUAUCGUAAAAUAAUUCUCAAAAUUAUAAAAGCGAACUUUCGCGCAUCCUACGAUAAUCCGCUCAACCAAUAGUAGAGCAUGAAUCAUGGCAACGGGCCAAUCAUAGAAAGCAUUACAAAAAGAUGAGCAGAAUCGAUCUAAAACUGAGAUUUUCGGCGUUUGAUGAUUUUAUGUUAGGGAAGAGGUAUAAGAAGUGCUGCGCGACCAAUUCGGCAGGCAGACCUUCCUUAAAAUUGUGACUCGGAACAAUAAGGCUGACCUAAAACAAUACACCCUGAUUCUAGCAAACAUAAAUCCCUUUUCCUUCUUUUCCCUUGGAUGCCUGGAGUCUCGGAGCGAUUCGGCAACGUUUCAAUCCCAUAUCAGAGAGAGAUUCGGUGACGUUAUCAUCCCGUAGUCUGGGGUUUGUUCCUUAACCUAACCUAUUUUUUAUUCUUCUUUGGCUUGCUAGAAUCAGGGAUGGUUUUUUUUUGUAAAUAAUUUGUAUUUUAGUAAAUUCUUUCAGUAAAUAAUUUUUUAAUUCAAACUUUUUACAACUAAGCCCGAGUCAGACUUAAUUUUUUUUUAAUUUUUGUAAAUUUUGUAAAUCCUGUAACUUCAUCAAAAUUCAAGAGGUCGUGGUAUGAAUUUGAGGUUAUAUCGCUUCAAAUUAAUAACAUUUUUUUUUAUAUAAAUUAGUAUUAGUAUUUUUAUUUUGUAAAUGAGCGAAAAUUGCGUAAUUCACAUUGGCGAGGGCAACAUAAUUUCGGAAAUUGGCGAACGCGAUCGCAAAUAUUUCACGACAAUUAGACUAUAACGAAUUGCCAUGUGAAUAUCGGUCAAAAUUGAAUAAAUCCGAAUUGUUAAAUUUUUCAAAGUCAAAAUUCUGCAUUCUCACGUUUCUUUCAUACCUGCUCCUUUUCAUUAAGGUAGCUCGAACCGACGCGUGGAGACGUUGAGGAUUCCCAUUAUAAAUAAACCUUUACCGCAAAAGUUUUAAUCGGAAUUACUCCUGGAGGUUUCAUUUGCCUAAAAUCAAGAGUAGCUGGUGGAAAGAAAACUGAUUCGCAAAUUACUAUUGAAUCCGGAUUAAUAGAUAAUUUAGAAGAAGGAGAUAUUGUUUUAGCCGAUAAAGGAUUCCCGACAAUAAGAGCAAAACUUGAUCAGAGCGGAAAAAAGGUUAUGAUAGUAA
RNAcentral lists this long non-coding RNA (5000 nucleotides) under Venturia canescens. RNAcentral describes it as "uncharacterized LOC122411151". The record is from RNAcentral. Lineage: Eukaryota; Metazoa; Arthropoda; Insecta; Hymenoptera; Ichneumonidae.